GAUGAACGCUGGCGGCGUGCCUAAUACAUGCAAGUCGAGCGGACGGACGAGAAGCUUGCUUCUUGGUUGUUAGCGGCGGACGGGUGUGUAACAUGUGUAUAACCUACCUAUCUGACUGGGAUAACUUCGGGAAACCGGCUCAUAUACCAUAUAAUAUUCUGAACCACAUUGUUCGAUGGUGAAAGUCGGCGUUGCUGUAUCUUAUAGCUGGUUACGCGCUGGAUGAGCUGGUUGGUAAGGUAACGGCUUACCAAGGCAACGAUGCAUAGCCGACCUGAGAGGGUGAUCGGCCACACUGGAACUGAGACACGGUCAAGACUCCUACGGGAGGCAGCAGUAGGGAAUCGUCCGCAAUGGGCGAAAGCCUGACGGAGCAACGCCGAGUGUGUGAUGAAGGUCUUCGGAGCGUAAAACUCUGUUAUUAGGGAAGAACCUAUGUGUAAGUAACUGUGCACAUCUUGACGGUACCUAAUCAGAAAGCCACGGCUAACUACGUG
RNAcentral lists this ribosomal RNA (497 nucleotides) under uncultured bacterium. RNAcentral's name for it is "partial 16S ribosomal RNA". It matches the Rfam family "Bacterial small subunit ribosomal RNA", at positions 28 to 507 of the family's 1533-position model. The record is from RNAcentral.